GUGAGCCACCGCACCCGGCCUUGUUUAGUUUUUUAGAGACAAAGUCUUGCGCUGUCACCCAGGCUAAAGUGCAAUAGCGUGAUGGAACGCUGGGGCUCAAGCAAUGAUCCUGCCUGAGCUCUGGGAUUACAGGUGUGCACCACUGUGCCCGGCCCUUAUUUAGCAUUCAUAUUGCCUGCUAUGUACCAGGACUGUACUUAACACUUGACAGAUAUUUUAACUCACAUAAUUCUCAUGGAAACCCUGAGAGAUAGUGUAUUAGUCAGUUUUCUUUUUGCUGUGAUGUUGCUGUGUAACAACCACCCCCUCCGCCCCCAAACUCAGUGGCUUAGAACAGCAAGCACUGAUUCCUCACUCACGGGUCUGUGGGUUGGCCGUGGCCUUGCCGAUUGGCUGCGAGGAGCUGGGCUUUAUCAGCUGCAGUUGGACUCUGAUUUCCCCAAGUGUCCUGUCAUUUAGGCACCAACCAGAGUGUGCUCAUUCACUCAGUGGGUGGCAGAGGCACAGAGCACAGGCAGAGUCAAUGCAUUUGCAGCUUCUGCUUGCGACACGUGCCCACAUUCCCUCAGCCAAGCAAGUCACAUGGCCAAGCCCAACACUGUGAGCUGGGAAGUUGCACGGCACAAGGAAGGGACAGACAAUUCUCCUAAAGACGGGGAAAGGUGAGUCGGAAACAAUAACCUAAUCUCUCGCAGGUCAGUGCUCUUUAUUACCCGCAUUUUACAGAUGGGGGAUGGGAGGCACCUAGAGGUUAAAUCAUUUGCCCAAGGUCAUCCGAGGUAAGUAAGUGGCAGAGGUGGGAAUCAAACCCAGAGCCUGUGGUCUUACCACCCAAGGGAUCUGCUUCUCUUGCGCUUGUUGAUUGGCCAGGCAAAUAGUCGCCCCCUUCCUUCUGGCUUCUCAGAGCCCCUUCUGUCCACCUAGAAGCCAGACUGGACCCUCUGCCCCUCCUCUUGAAUGCAGGGGGCGCUGGGUCUCAGGGUUGCAGGAAACCUCAUGCCUCCCUGAAUACUCCUCAGUGGUCUGCCAUGGCUGGUCAUCCACUGGCUUCCCCUAGGAUUCCAGGGCCCACAGCAACCUGGCUGAGGGCUCUGAGCUGGGGACACCGGAGGGAGGGCCGGCUAGAGGCUGCAAGGCCCCAGGACUCUGGGUGUGGCUUUCUCUCAGGGGCCUGGGCUGAGUUCCCUUAUCCCCUAGAGGAACUGGGGCCCAAGGCAUGCAUAGCAAUCCCCAGCUUUGGGCCUGGUGUGACCAGAGGCCUCAACCCUGGUCCGCAUCCCCAGCGAGGUCAGCGUUUUGGAGGUGUUGCCCCACGAUCAUGUCUGCUGAGUAAGGGCAGAGAGACCCUUCCUGGUGACAGCUGCCCCCCCACACUGCAGUCAACCCCAUGGCGUACCCACUGCACAGCUCCUCUGCCCCUCGUAUGCUUCCCGUAAGCUCUGCCUCCCCUAGGAAGGGAGGGGCACGACGGAGGGGGGCCUGCUCCGCGCAAGCUCUCACAUAGGAAGGCAUGGGAGCUGGGGGAAGGGCACCCACUGCAGCCCUGGCACCAGGGGGUGGGUAGGAGCAAGGGCUUUGGUGUCAGCCAGCUCCCCGUUGUGCUGUGUGAUCCUGGAAAGUCACUCAACCUCUCUGAGCCUUUUCUUCACCUGUACAGUGGGGAUAGUAACUACCUACCUUAUGGAAGCAUAUGAGGAUUGCAUGAAGUCAUCCACGCAGCCCAUCCACCGCCACGUGGAGUUUGGCACAGAGCAAACAGUUUCUAAAUGGAAGUCAUCAUGAUCAGGCCACACUUUCAGUAGCAAGGCUUCAUAGCUGCCCAGAGGUUCCCAGUGGAACUGAGCCCUGGCUGCCGGCCAUAGAAACCUGCUCGCUAACCUGAACCAGCUCCUGAAGUUCCCCGUCUCAACCUCUCUUCUUGGGAAUGCCUUCCAAAUAAACCACUUCCACUUGGAUCCUGUUUGGGGGCCCCAACCUCAGAGGACGCUGCCGCACUCCACCUAUCAGCUGGAUGGCCUCGAGCAAGUCACUUGGCCCCUGUGAGCCUCAGUUUCCUUAAUCUUCAAAUGGAGACAGUAACCAGGAGGUGUAGAAGACAGCAUGAAUGAACACGUGCAAGGAACCGGAAAUGCUAGCACCAGUGCCAAGGUUUGCACAGCUGUGCUGGAGAAGAGCAAGGCUGAUCCCCGUUGCCACAGCAUUGCUGGGGUGUUGGGUUCUCAGUGAACCGGACGCUUCAUCAAAGACUGGGGAUGCUCUGUAGGUGGGGGUAGGUGCCUCUUUGGAGCAAAUCCAGAGUGAGGAUUUAUGUUGAACCCAAAACAUCACUCCCCUUUUCUUAUUUUCUGUCUGUUCUUCUUUAAAUACGUCCUGGGGGAAUGGUUCCUAAUGUCUGCAGUUUAUUUUUCAUUUAUUUUUUAAUGCCAAAGCCAAGCAUACUGAUUAAAACCAACAAUAAAAAAGCUUCGUGAAUGGC
This is a long non-coding RNA of Macaca mulatta (Rhesus monkey), 2476 nucleotides long. RefSeq lists it as uncharacterized. The record is from RefSeq and is a predicted model, not a curated record. NCBI's taxonomy places the organism in Eukaryota, Metazoa, Chordata, Mammalia, Primates, Cercopithecidae.